Long non-coding RNA from Folsomia candida, 928 nucleotides. RefSeq lists it as uncharacterized. Lineage: Eukaryota; Metazoa; Arthropoda; Collembola; Entomobryomorpha; Isotomidae. The transcript has 2 exons. The record is from RefSeq and is a predicted model, not a curated record.
UACUUUUUUUUGUCACUAGUAGACCAACCAAUUGGUAGUACAAUGUCACGUAAUCAGGUCUCAAAAAAAUUUCAAUAUGGGGUAAAAAUAAAUUAUCUCGCGGGCAUUCAAAAUCAACGUGUUAUAAAAUAUCCAUCUUUUUUGCUCCUCAGCUGAAAAAAAGAAUAAUUUGUUUUGGCUAUGGGGAAGAAGGUCAAGGAGACGCCAUUUGCAAUUCGCGAACUGGUAAUCAAGCACCAUCAGGGCGAUGCCAAUGGGAAGAAAACCCAACAAGAAAUUGCAAAUUUGCUUAAAAUACCUCGUUCAACAGUUCAAUAUAUAAUUCGGAAGCACAAAUUAUGUGGACUAAUUGUAAACAAGCAAGGAAGAGGUCGAAAGCCAAUAUUCUCUAAGAGAGAAAAAAGUGCCAUUAUCAAGAAAGUGAAGGUCAACCCAAAAUUGACAAUUUCUAAGAUCAGAGAUCAAGUUGCAAAUGAAACUGGAAAACUAACCUGUCGUAACACAAUCAUUAAAGUAAUCAAGUCUGAAGGAUUUAAGAGUUGCAGAGCCAGGAAGAAGCCACUCAUUUCAAAGGUCAACCAGAAGAAACGGAUUUCGUUUGCAAAGGAGCAUGUGAAUAAGUUUUUGGAAUUCGAUCUUGUGGUCUGAUGAAAGCAAAUACAACUUAUUUGGGUCGGAUGGACGUGCCAGAGUUUGGAGAAAAUCAGACGAGGCUCUAAAAUUGAAGAACCUCAACCCCACCGUAAAACACGGCGGUGGAAGCGUUAUGGUUUGAGGCUGCUUUAGCUACGCAGGGACUGGAGGUCACGAAUUCUUAAACGGGACUAUGGACCAACACGUGUACCAGGGUAUAUUGUCCCGUAAUAUAAAGCAAUCUGUAGCAAAACUUGGUCUUGGGCGCCGCUACACGUUCCAACAAGAUCGUGAU